UGGGGAAUAUUGCGCAAUGGGGGAAACCCUGACGCAGCGACGCCGCGUGGGUGAUGAAGGCCUUCGGGUCGUAAAGCCCUGUCGGGAGGGAAGAAAAAAUCCGGACCUAAUACGUUCGGGAAUUGACGGUACCUCCUAAGGAAGCACCGGCUAACUCCGUGCCAGCAGCCGCGGUAAUACGGAGGGUGCUAGCGUUGUUCGGAUUUACUGGGCGUAAAGCGCGUGUAGGCGGGUCGUUAAGUUGGGGGUGAAAUCCCGAGGCUCAACCUCGGAACUGCCUUCAAAACUGGCGACCUGGACCUAAGUAGAGGCAAGUGGAAUUGCGAGUGUAGAGGUGAAAUUCGUAGAUAUUCGCAGGAACACCAGUGGCGAAGGCGACUUGCUGGACUUAUGGUGACGCUGAGACGCGAAAGCGUGGGGAGCAAACAGGAUUAGAUACCCGCGUAGUCCCUGAGCGGGCUGGCAAGGCGCAU
RNAcentral lists this ribosomal RNA (473 nucleotides) under uncultured bacterium. RNAcentral's name for it is "bacterial SSU rRNA". It matches the Rfam family "Bacterial small subunit ribosomal RNA", at positions 355 to 825 of the family's 1533-position model. The record is from RNAcentral.